CAGGWGGAACGUGGCSGAAAGUUAAACACWKGCAAKNCGAACGWUGAAGCCCAGYUUGYUGGUGGAUUAKUGGCGAACGGGUGAGUAACACGUGAUAAACUGCCCUUAAAUCUGGGAUAAGCUGGGAAACURGGUCUAAUACCGGAUAGGAGCGCCCACCGCAUGGUGGGUGUUGGAAAGAUUUAUCGGUUUUGGAUGGACUCGCGGCCUAUCAGCUUGUUGGUGAGGUAAUGGCUCACCAAGGCGACGACGGGUAGCCGGCCUGAGAGGGUGACCGGCCACACUGGGACUGAGACACGGCCCAGACUCUACGGGAGGCAGCAGUGGGGAAUAUUGCACAAUGGGCGCAAGCCUGAUGCAGCGACGCCGCGUGAGGGAUGACGGCUCGGGUUGUAAACCUCUUUCAGUAGGGAAGAAGCGAAAGUGACGGUACCUGCAGAAGAAGCACCGGCUAACUACGUGCCAGCAGCCGCGGUAAUACGUAGGGUGCGAGCGUUAUCCGGAAUUAUUGGGCGUAAAGAGCUCGUAGGCGGUUUGUCGCGUCUGUCGUGAAAGUCCGGGCUUAACCCCGGAUCUGCGGUGGGUACGGGCAGACUAGAGUGCAGUAGGGGAGACUGGAAUUCCUGGUGUAGCGGUGGAAUGCGCAGACAGGAGGAACACCGAUGGCGAAGGCAGGUCUCUGGGCUGUAACUGACGCUGAGGAGCGAAAGCAUGGGGAGCGAACAGGAUUAGAUACCCUGGUAGUCCAUGCCGUAAACGUUGGGCACUAGGUGUGGGGACCAUUCCACGGUUUCCGCGCCGCACUAACGCAUUAAGUGCCCCG
Molecule: ribosomal RNA, 823 nt
Filed under: Micrococcus sp. E1-2
Lineage: Bacteria; Bacillati; Actinomycetota; Actinomycetes; Micrococcales; Micrococcaceae
Description: bacterial SSU rRNA
Rfam family: Bacterial small subunit ribosomal RNA
Source: RNAcentral